This 72-nucleotide transfer RNA is filed under the name Camelus bactrianus (Bactrian camel). It matches the Rfam family "tRNA". From Rfam's summary of the family: Transfer RNA (tRNA) molecules are approximately 80 nucleotides in length. Their secondary structure includes four short double-helical elements and three loops (D, anti-codon, and T loops). The record is from Rfam by way of RNAcentral. Lineage: Eukaryota; Metazoa; Chordata; Mammalia; Artiodactyla; Camelidae. RNAcentral also lists the same sequence under 2 other names.
GAGGGUGUAGCUCAGCAGUAGAGCGCAUGCCUAGCGUUCACAAGGUCCUGGGUUCAAUCCCCAGUACCUCCA